GCGGGGCCCAGCACGUGGGCGUGCGUAGGCGAGCACGGCCCUGCAUGCGGGCACACGCAGGCUGGCAUGCGGGCGGUGCCCAACUAUCACAAGUGGGGCGCGGCCUCUUCAUGUGGUCCACACCUCGCUCCUCUUCAUGUGGUCCACACGCAAGGCAUGGACCAAGCCCAUUUCCUCUUGCAUUUCGUGCGGUCCACCAUGGACUGACGACAUUUUUGCUUCAUUUCUCAUGGUGUACGAUGGUCUAUAGCAUAGAUUUAUGCGAUUGGAUGGCUUGCAGGUGUUGCAG
This 289-nucleotide long non-coding RNA is filed under the name Elaeis guineensis (African oil palm). RNAcentral's name for it is "long non-coding RNA (EGUI_LNC026169)". The record is from RNAcentral. Lineage: Eukaryota; Viridiplantae; Streptophyta; Magnoliopsida; Arecales; Arecaceae.